Cajanus cajan (pigeon pea) is the source of this 294-nucleotide non-coding RNA. The record is from RefSeq and is a predicted model, not a curated record. NCBI's taxonomy places the organism in Eukaryota, Viridiplantae, Streptophyta, Magnoliopsida, Fabales, Fabaceae.
AAAUAAUUUUUCAACGGGAGGAGACAAUGAUUUGUGAAUUGAUAGGGUUCAUUGGUGAUGUACAACUGGGAUUAUACAUGCCAGAUAUGCUAUGUUGUUGAUAACGGUGUGGUGUUGGCAUUGCGCCGUAUGUGGAAGACACUGGUUCCCAAAAAGGUUUUAUGAUGAAAAGCUCAAUUCCAGCUAGAAAGCUACUGCAGCAUAAACUUUCACUGGACGAUUAGAUUCAAUGCGGUAUUCCAAGAAGAUAAAGAUAUUAUGUCACUGUAUGCACUGGCACACUGCUAUGCAAAA